Molecule: long non-coding RNA, 290 nt
Organism: Haliotis rubra (blacklip abalone)
Lineage: Eukaryota; Metazoa; Mollusca; Gastropoda; Lepetellida; Haliotidae
Exons: 2
Source: RefSeq, a predicted model, not a curated record
UUGAGUGUUCCACGUCCCAGAUUUGUCUGUCUCUUAGUUGUACUUUUCGUCGCAACCUCAUUUGUAUCAUGGAGACGUUUUGAUAAGAUUCAAAUCUUACGACAGCCUUACCCUUCGAGAACUGGACAUCAAAAGCAAAGUCAUGGACUGGAAAUGCAUAUCAGUGAUGUCGAAAUCGAUGAUACAAAUAGGCAUGCAUCUCCAAGAACCUCAAAGAUGUCAAUUGUCAACCCUGAACUUGGGUACCGACUUAAUGAAACAAUCACAGUGAAGAUUGUACUAUUCGACCA